UACGUAGGGGGCAAGCGUUGUCCGGAAUCAUUGGGCGUAAAGAGCGCGUAGGCGGCCCGAUAAGUCCGCUGUGAAAGUCAAGGGCUCAACCCUUGAAUGCCGGUGGAUACUGUCGGGCUAGAGUCCGGAAGAGGCGAGUGGAAUUCCUGGUGUAGCGGUGAAAUGCGCAGAUAUCAGGAGGAACACCGAUUGCGAAGGCAGCUCGCUGGGACGUAACUGACGCUGAGACGCGAAAGCGUGGGGAGCAAACAGG
RNAcentral lists this ribosomal RNA (253 nucleotides) under uncultured bacterium. RNAcentral's name for it is "partial 16S ribosomal RNA". It matches the Rfam family "Bacterial small subunit ribosomal RNA", at positions 524 to 776 of the family's 1533-position model. The record is from RNAcentral.